This 389-nucleotide ribosomal RNA is filed under the name uncultured bacterium. Its description in RNAcentral is "bacterial SSU rRNA". It matches the Rfam family "Bacterial small subunit ribosomal RNA", at positions 120 to 507 of the family's 1533-position model. The record is from RNAcentral.
UGCAAUCUACCUUCACAGAGGGAUAGCCCAGAGAAAUUUGGAUUAAUACCUCAUAGUAAUAGCAGUUUCGCAUGAAACCACUAUUAAAGUCACAACGGUGAAAGAUGAGCAUGCGUCCCAUUAGCUAGUUGGUAAGGUAACGGCUUACCAAGGCAACGAUGGGUAGGGGUCCUGAGAGGGAGAUCCCCCACACUGGUACUGAGACACGGACCAGACUCCUACGGGAGGCAGCAGUGAGGAAUAUUGGACAAUGGGCGCAAGCCUGAUCCAGCCAUGCCGCGUGCAGGAUGACGGUCCUAUGGAUUGUAAACUGCUUUUAUACAGGAAGAAACACUACUUCGUGAAGUAGCUUGACGGUACUGUAAGAAUAAGGAUCGGCUAACUCCGUG